Molecule: long non-coding RNA, 258 nt
Filed under: Homo sapiens (human)
Lineage: Eukaryota; Metazoa; Chordata; Mammalia; Primates; Hominidae
Description: non-protein coding lnc-STAMBP-3:1
Source: RNAcentral
CUUGGGAGGCUGAGGCAGGAGAAUCACUUGGACCAAGGAGGCAGAGGUUGCAGUGAGCCAAGACCGUGCCACUGCACUCCAGCCUGGGCAAAAGAGUGAAAUUCUGUCUCACUCUUAUAAAUAAAAUAAAGUUAAUAAAACAAAAGCAAUUUACAUUCUACAGACAUACUAAUGAAUGACAUAAAUGAGGUAAUACGGUAUAAAACAAAAUGGAAAAAAUACAUUAUGAUUAUUUUCUUCAGUGUACAGAAGUCAUGG